RNAcentral lists this ribosomal RNA (338 nucleotides) under uncultured soil bacterium. Its description in RNAcentral is "bacterial SSU rRNA". It matches the Rfam family "Bacterial small subunit ribosomal RNA", at positions 26 to 386 of the family's 1533-position model. The record is from RNAcentral.
AGAGCGAACGCUGGCGGCAGGCCUAACACAUGCAAGUCGAACGGACCCUUCGGGGGUUAGUGGCGGACGGGUGAGUAACACGUGGGAACGUGCCUUUUGGUUCGGAAUAGCUCCUGGAAACGGGUGGUAAUGCCGAAUGUGCCCUUCGGGGGAAAGAUUUAUCGCCAUUAGAGCGGCCCGCGUCUGAUUAGCUAGUUGGUGAGGUAAAGGCUCACCAAGGCUACGAUCAGUAGCUGGUCUGAGAGGAUGACUCAGUCACACUGAACUGAGACACGGUCCAGACCUCCGUACGGGAGCAGCGAGUAGGGGAAUGUUAGGACAAGUGGGACGAAGCUAGA